Long non-coding RNA from Apis cerana (Asiatic honeybee), 438 nucleotides. RefSeq lists it as uncharacterized. The record is from RefSeq and is a predicted model, not a curated record. Lineage: Eukaryota; Metazoa; Arthropoda; Insecta; Hymenoptera; Apidae.
GAGAUCGUUAAGCGUUGGGUAAUGACUCGACUCGAGAAAAGUGGACGGUGAAAUUAUUCUCUAUCGUGCGAAUUUGUCGAUAGAUUUAAGAAUUGUUUGGAUUCUGAUUUGAUUCUGAGGAUGGUUUUCAAGAAGGAAGUAACAAAGAAAAAAUAUGUUUGCGAUAGAGUGGAGAAAAUAAGAUGAUAAAAGAUAGAGAUUUGAACGAUUACAGUAGGUGGAGACGUUUCGAGGAGAAUGGUUACAAAAGUUAGAAUCGGGAAGACGUAACAAUUGAAUUUCGAAUUAAAUCUCAGGAAAUUCUGAGGAAAGAAGAUGAUUUGAAAUUCGCACGAUAGAUAUAAAAUUUCUAAAUAAUUUCAAUAUUCUAUUUUACAAAAUAUAUGUAAUAUGAAAUAUAUGAAAUCGAAAAUGAAUAAAACUAUAAAUUUUAAGAAA